RNAcentral lists this ribosomal RNA (376 nucleotides) under uncultured bacterium. RNAcentral's name for it is "bacterial SSU rRNA". It matches the Rfam family "Bacterial small subunit ribosomal RNA", at positions 30 to 407 of the family's 1533-position model. The record is from RNAcentral.
AUUGAACGCUGGCGGCAGGCCUAACACAUGCAAGUCGAGCGGUAGAGAGGUGCUUGCAUCUCUUGAGAGCGGCGGACGGGUGAGUAAUGCCUAGGAAUCUGCCUAGUGGUGGGGGAUAACGUUCGGAAACGGACGCUAAUACCGCAUACGUCCUACGGGAGAAAGCGGGGGAUCUUCGGACCUCGCGCCAUUAGAUGAGCCUAGGUCGGAUUAGCUAGUUGGUGAGGUAAUGGCUCACCAAGGCGACGAUCCGUAACUGGUCUGAGAGGAUGAUCAGUCACACUGGAACUGAGACACGGUCCAGACUCCUACGGGAGGCAGCAGUGGGGAAUAUUGGACAAUGGGCGAAAGCCUGAUCAGCCAUGCCGCGUGUGUG